RNAcentral lists this ribosomal RNA (117 nucleotides) under Bacillota bacterium. Lineage: Bacteria; Bacillati; Bacillota. RNAcentral also lists the same sequence under 1 other name. The record is from RNAcentral.
UCUGGUGGGUAUAGCGGAGGGGCCACACCCGUUCCCAUCCCGAACACGGCCGUUAAGCCCUCCAGCGCCGAUGGUACUCGGGGCGAAAGCCCCCGGGAGAGUAGGUCCCCACCAGGA